RNAcentral lists this ribosomal RNA (425 nucleotides) under uncultured bacterium. RNAcentral's name for it is "partial 16S ribosomal RNA". It matches the Rfam family "Bacterial small subunit ribosomal RNA", at positions 354 to 796 of the family's 1533-position model. The record is from RNAcentral.
GUGGGGAAUCUUGCGCAAUGGGCGAAAGCUUGACGCAGCCAUGCCGCGUGAAUGAUGAAGGUCUUAGGAUUGUAAAAUUCUUUCACCGGGGACGAUAAUGACGGUACCCGGAGAAGAAGCUCCGGCUAACUUCUUGCCAGCAGCCGCGGUAAUACGAAGGGGGCGAGCGUUACUCGGAAUGACUGGGUGUAAAGGGCGCGUAGGCGGAUAGCUUAGUCAGAGGUGAAAGCCCAGGGGUCAACCUUGGAAUUGCCUUUGGUACUGGAUGUCUUGAGUUAGGGAGAGGUGAGUGGAACUCCGAGUGUAGAGGUGAAAUUCGUAGAUAUUCGGAAGAACACCAGUGGCGAAGGCGACUCACUGGCCCAAUACUGACGCUGAGGCGCGAAGGCGUGGGGAGCAAACAGGAUUAGAAACCCGAGUAGUCC